Molecule: ribosomal RNA, 253 nt
Filed under: uncultured bacterium
Lineage: Bacteria
Description: partial 16S ribosomal RNA
Rfam family: Bacterial small subunit ribosomal RNA
Source: RNAcentral
UACGUAGGCAGCAAGCGUUGUUCGGAAUUACUGGGCGUAAAGAGUGUGUAGGCGGUGCUCCAAGUCUGGUGUGAAAUCUCCCGGCUCAACUGGGAGGGUGCGCUAGAAACUGGAAUGCUAGAGGAUGGGAGAGGUAAGCGGAAUUCCUGGUGUAGCGGUGAAAUGCGUAGAUAUCAGGAGGAACACCGGUGGCGAAGGCGGUGGUCUGGGCCAGUACUGACGCUGAGGAGCGAAAGCGUGGGGAGCGAACAGG